Molecule: ribosomal RNA, 494 nt
Filed under: uncultured bacterium
Lineage: Bacteria
Description: bacterial SSU rRNA
Rfam family: Bacterial small subunit ribosomal RNA
Source: RNAcentral
GGCGGCGUGCCUAACACAUGCAAGUCGAGCGGGGACAUACGACGGAACCAAAGUUUCGGAUGGAGGUGAAGAUGUAUGUUCUAGCGGCGGACGGGUGAGUAACGCGUGAGCAACCUGUCCCUUACAGGGGGAUAACACAGCGAAAGUUGUACUAAUACCGCAUGAGACCACGGGGAGACAUCUUUCUGAGGUCAAAGGAGCAAUCCGGUAAGGGGUGGGCUCGCGUCCGAUUAGAUAGUUGGUGAGGUAACGGCCCACCAAGUCGACGAUCGGUAGCCGACCUGAGAGGGUGAUCGGCCACAUUGGGACUGAGACACGGCCCAAACUCCUACGGGAGGCAGCAGUGGGGAAUAUUGGGCAAAAUGGGGGGAACCCUGACCCAGCAACGCCGCGUGAGGGAAGAAGGUUUUCGGAUCGUAAACCUCUGUCCUUGGUGAAGAGUAAGAGACGGUAGCCAAGGAGGAAGCCCCGGCUAACUACGUGCCAGCCGCGGC